Molecule: long non-coding RNA, 2016 nt
Organism: Ctenopharyngodon idella (grass carp)
Lineage: Eukaryota; Metazoa; Chordata; Actinopteri; Cypriniformes; Xenocyprididae
Exons: 2
Source: RefSeq, a predicted model, not a curated record
UAAAGCACUCUGGGGCCUGUCCCCCAUCCCCCGAGAAGUUCUCAGUUACAAGUUUUAUUGCGCUAAAGAAUGUGUUUGCCACAUGGAAGAGCAGAGAAGAGACACAGAAACAUGCAUCUUUCCUGCAUUUUCCCCACAGAACACAGACUUUCCUGCAUUAAUUUAUAGACAGACCGUUCUAUAAAUGAACAUGCACAUCCCUAGCAAAUGGUAUCCAUUAUUGCUGUUGUUGUAUUGCACUCAUUGUAUUCGCAUGUUUUAUGAUACAUUUAAGGUAACUUCAAUUAUGCCAUGUUUAGUGUCUACGGGUUCGUAUCGAGAAGAUUUAAAUGCUUGUGUAUGCGGUAUGUCCAUACCUGUGCAACACAUCAGUAUUACAAGAAUCUUUAAUAGUUCUUCUUCAAAACUCAGCCAGUAAAUCUUGCUCGAUCAUAAAAGCCCUGACAGGAGGCGUGUUAUCGCCCGGAAAUACAACAUCUUCAUUGGUCCGGUCAACAACUAAGAGGUGUGACUUUGACCAGAGGUUAAAAGCCAGUGAACAAUGCCACUCCCUCUCUUUCCUUGCUUCUUGGACGACUGAAGAGACCCCCUUCUUGCUGCAGGCCUGUAGGCCUAGGCCUGCAGACCUCGGCCUACAACCCAGCCAUGUGCUCAUCUAUAAGUUUUCAUAGUACUUCAUCUAACGCAGAAGAUACUGGCAACAACUUCGGACCGAACCAUCAAGAUUACAACCCAGCCGGCAGAUCCGAUGCUCCUCAGCCUAAAGGCAUCUUGCAAAUUCAACAGCAGAAAAAGUAAACAAAUCCACUGAACAUGAAAACCACGGAAAAGAUAAAGGAGGAAACAGUGUGGAGACAUCAUGGCAUGGGAUUGUAUCACAUUGUAUCAGCUGUAUUAUUGUUUAUAGUGCUUACAAUGUGUUUCUUCAUUAUUUACUGUAAAAAAAGGAAUUCAAGCUGCCUCAUUCUCUUCUGUCAUAACUGAAGGAGAAAGAACAGUGACAGAAAUUAAAGGUCUGAAAGUUUUGCGUGGUGUAAGGGGAAGCCUACAAUUAGUGUUUAGAAUAAAUCUCUCCUCAAAAUACAAAAAGAAUGACCUCCAGACUUCGGCCAGCUGUCGGGCCAAGAAGAAGAAAAAGCCAAUGCGACCUGGUGGUUCUUGAGCUGGACAUGUCCAGAAAAUAUGACCCAAAGUGACAUCUAGAACAUGUCGGGUCUAUUUCUGGAAAUAUUCUUGCCAGUUUACUCAAUGUAGCCUAUGAAUUAUCUUAAACUACAGUAAUCCAUGCCUGACACAAAUAGAUGUUGAAUGAAUUUGCCUAAUUGCUGACUGCUAGACUGCCUCUGAGACUACACUUCCAAAUCCUCUUCUCACUGUUCCCUUAAAGAGGCGAUAGGCUGCUCUUUGAAUCAGACUGUACACUUUAGAUAUCAGACCUCACUCAGAUGCACCCCAGUUCAAAAACUCCUCGAUCCAACUAUGAGAUGGAGGAGUCAAAAAGGUACUGAAAUAUUUUUUGAGGCUUCGUACCUGCUGAUAUCUGGGAAAAUUAGAUUUAGGAAUAUCAAAAUCUGAUAUCAUACAUUCAAAGGAAAUAAAACUAUAGCCCUGAAAAAUAUUUCUUACACAUCUGACUUCCUUUCUAAACCAUGUCUGAGAAGCAUGGUCAAUUAAGGAUGGUGGGAACAGUGCAUUGGACGUAAUAGGUAGCAAGGAAAGUGCUUGUUUUUUCUUAAAAUGUGACCUAAACUGAGCCCAUAUUUUUAAUCAUCUGGUCACCAAUGGAUUACUUGUCAGAUUCUUACUGUUAAGUGUCUGCGGGGGACAGAGCAUUGAAAACAGAGAGACUGGCCUGAAAGAUGCCUAUUCCAUCUCUACCCAAACAGGUUCAUUCUCCUGAUUUAAUUGCUCUGCCCAGUGAAUAAAUUUAACAGUAUUACAAGACCAAUAAUACAUAAAGUUGGGCAAUGCCAGUAACCCUGUAUCUUUCCACAUUUAUAAAAAUGCUUUUCUUUA